CCUACGGGGGGCUGCAGUGAGGAAUAUUGGUCAAUGGGCGAGAGCCUGAACCAGCCAUGCCGCGUGCAGGAAGACGGCCCUACGGGUUGUAAACUGCUUUUGUGUGGGAAGAAAACGCUCUACGUGUAGAGUACUGACGGUACCAUAUGAAUAAGCAUCGGCUAACUCCGUGCCAGCAGCCGCGGUAAUACGGAGGAUGCGAGCGUUAUCCGGAUUUAUUAGGUUUAAGGCGUGUGUAGACGGCCGUGUAGAAAUCUCAGAGCUUAACUCUGAAACUGCCAUAGAUACUGGUUGUCUUGAGUACAGUUGAAGUAGGCGGAAUGUGUAAUGUAGCGGUGAAAUGCUUAGAUAUUACACAGAACACCGAUUGCGAAGGCAGCUUGCUAAGCUGUUACUGACGCUGAUGCACGAAAGCGUGGGGAGCGAACAGGAUUAGAUACCCGUGUAGUC
RNAcentral lists this ribosomal RNA (450 nucleotides) under uncultured bacterium. Its description in RNAcentral is "partial 16S ribosomal RNA". It matches the Rfam family "Bacterial small subunit ribosomal RNA", at positions 338 to 795 of the family's 1533-position model. The record is from RNAcentral.